UCGAGGAUCUUUCGCAAUGGGCGAAAGCCUGACGGAGCGACGCUGUGUGAGUGAUGAAGGCCUUCGGGUUGUAAAACUCUUUUGCCUGUGAACAAGAACGAUUCGUGAAUAACGAGUCAAUUUGAGGGUAGCAGGAGAAAAAGCACCGGCUAACUACGUGCCAGCAGCUGCGGUAAUACGUAGGGUGCAAGCAUUAAUCGGAAUUAUUGGGCGUAAAGGGCGCGUAGGCGGAUUGAUAAGUCAGAUGUGAAAUACCAAAGCUCAACUUUGGUGCUGCAUUUGAAACUGUUUUUCUAUGAGGAUUGACGGAGAAAGGGGAAUUCCACGUGUAGCGGUGAAAUGCGUAGAUACGUGGAGGAACACCGGUGGCGAAAGCGCCUUUCUAGUUUAGACCUGACGCUGAGGCGCGAGAGCAAGGGGAGCAAACAGG
This 430-nucleotide ribosomal RNA is filed under the name bacterium. RNAcentral describes it as "partial 16S ribosomal RNA". It matches the Rfam family "Bacterial small subunit ribosomal RNA", at positions 355 to 776 of the family's 1533-position model. The record is from RNAcentral.